GAUUACUUAGUUUAAACAAAACGAAUGCCUUGAAAGCAUUAAAUAGAUUCAACCUCUCUAGUAAUCU
This 67-nucleotide transfer RNA is filed under the name Engaewa subcoerulea. RNAcentral's name for it is "tRNA-Ser". It matches the Rfam family "tRNA". Rfam says of the family: Transfer RNA (tRNA) molecules are approximately 80 nucleotides in length. The record is from RNAcentral. Lineage: Eukaryota; Metazoa; Arthropoda; Malacostraca; Decapoda; Parastacidae.